GGGUUGUGAGGUUAAGCGACUAAGCGUACACGGUGGAUGCCCUGGCAGUCAGAGGCGAUGAAGGACGUGCUAAUCUGCGAAAAGCGCCGGCGAGGUGAUAUGAACCUUUGACCCGGCGAUGUCCGAAUGGGGAAACCCAGUGCAAUCCGUUGCACUAUCGUUAACUGAAUACAUAGGUUAACGAGGCGAACCGGGGGAACUGAAACAUCUAAGUACCCCGAGGAAAAGAAAUCAACCGAGAUUCCCCCAGUAGCGGCGAGCGAACGGGGAGCAGCCCGGAGUCUGAAUCAGCUUGUGUGUUAGUGGAACGGUCUGGAAAGUCCGACGGUACAGGGUGAUAGUCCCGUACACGAAAGCACACAUGCUGUGAACUCGAAGAGUAGGGCGGGACACGUGGUAUCCUGUCUGAAUAUGGGGGGACCAUCCUCCAAGGCUAAAUACUCCUGACUGACCGAUAGUGAACCAGUACCGUGAGGGAAAGGCGAAAAGAACCCCGGCGAGGGGAGUGAAAAAGAACCUGAAACCGUGUACGUACAAGCAGUGGGAGCCUCUUUAUGGGGUGACUGCGUACCUUUUGUAUAAUGGGUCAGCGACUUAUAUUCUGUAGCAAGGUUAACCGUAUAGGGGAGCCGAAGGGAAACCGAGUCUUAACUGGGCGUUAAGUUGCAGGGUAUAGACCCGAAACCCGGUGAUCUAGCCAUGGGCAGGUUGAAGGUUGGGUAACACUAACUGGAGGACCGAACCGACUAAUGUUGAAAAAUUAGCGGAUGACCUGUGGCUGGGGGUGAAAGGCCAAUCAAACCGGGAGAUAGCUGGUUCUCCCCGAAAGCUAUUUAGGUAGCGCCUCGUGAACUCAUCUUCGGGGGUAGAGCACUGUUUCGGCUAGGGGGCCAUCCCGGCUUACCAACCCGAUGCAAACUACGAAUACCGAAGAAUGUUAUCACGGGAGACACACGGCGGGUGCUAACGUCCGUCGUGAAGAGGGAAACAACCCAGACCGCCAGCUAAGGUCCCAAAGUCAUGGUUAAGUGGGAAACGAUGUGGGAAGGCACAGACAGCCAGGAUGUUGGCUUAGAAGCAGCCAUCAUUUAAAGAAAGCGUAAUAGCUCACUGGUCGAGUCGGCCUGCGCGGAAGAUGUAACGGGGCUAAACCAUGCACCGAAGCUGCGGCAGCGACGCUUAGGCGUUGUUGGGUAGGGGAGCGUUCUGUAAGCCGUUGAAGGUGUGCUGUGAGGCAUGCUGGAGGUAUCAGAAGUGCGAAUGCUGACAUAAGUAACGAUAAAGCGGGUGAAAAGCCCGCUCGCCGGAAGACCAAGGGUUCCUGUCCAACGUUAAUCGGGGCAGGGUGAGUCGACCCCUAAGGCGAGGCCGAAAGGCGUAGUCGAUGGGAAACAGGUUAAUAUUCCUGUACUUGGUGUUACUGCGAAGGGGGGACGGAGAAGGCUAUGUCAGCCGGGCGACGGUUGUCCCGGUUUAAGCAUGUAGGCGGAGGUUCCAGGUAAAUCCGGUACCUUAUUAACGCUGAGGUGUGAUGACGAGGCACUACGGUGCUGAAGUGAUAAAUGCCCUGCUUCCAGGAAAAGCCUCUAAGCAUCAGGUAACACGAAAUCGUACCCCAAACCGACACAGGUGGUCAGGUAGAGAAUACCAAGGCGCUUGAGAGAACUCGGGUGAAGGAACUAGGCAAAAUGGUGCCGUAACUUCGGGAGAAGGCACGCUGAUAUGUAGGUGAAGUCCCUGCGGACGGAGCUGAAAUCAGUCGAAGAUACCAGCUGGCUGCAACUGUUUAUUAAAAACACAGCACUGUGCAAACACGAAAGUGGACGUAUACGGUGUGACGCCUGCCCGGUGCCGGAAGGUUAAUUGAUGGGGUUAGCGGCAACGCGAAGCUCUUGAUCGAAGCCCCGGUAAACGGCGGCCGUAACUAUAACGGUCCUAAGGUAGCGAAAUUCCUUGUCGGGUAAGUUCCGACCUGCACGAAUGGCGUAAUGAUGGCCAGGCUGUCUCCACCCGAGACUCAGUGAAAUUGAACUCGCUGUGAAGAUGCAGUGUACCCGCGGCAAGACGGAAAGACCCCGUGAACCUUUACUAUAGCUUGACACUGAACACUGGUCCUUGAUGUGUAGGAUAGGUGGGAGGCUUUGAAGCGUGGACGCCAGUCUGCGUGGAGCCAACCUUGAAAUACCACCCUUUAAUGGCUGGUGUUCUAACGUAGACCCGUAAUCCGGGUUGCGGACAGUGUCUGGUGGGUAGUUUGACUGGGGCGGUCUCCUCCCAAAGAGUAACGGAGGAGCACGAAGGUUGGCUAAUCCUGGUCGGACAUCAGGAGGUUAGUGCAAUGGCAUAAGCCAGCUUGACUGCGAGCGUGACGGCGCGAGCAGGUGCGAAAGCAGGUCAUAGUGAUCCGGUGGUUCUGAAUGGAAGGGCCAUCGCUCAACGGAUAAAAGGUACUCCGGGGAUAACAGGCUGAUACCGCCCAAGAGUUCAUAUCGACGGCGGUGUUUGGCACCUCGAUGUCGGCUCAUCACAUCCUGGGGCUGAAGUAGGUCCCAAGGGUAUGGCUGUUCGCCAUUUAAAGUGGUACGCGAGCUGGGUUUAGAACGUCGUGAGACAGUUCGGUCCCUAUCUGCCGUGGGCGCUGGAGAAUUGAGGGGGGCUGCUCCUAGUACGAGAGGACCGGAGUGGACGCAUCACUGGUGUUCGGGUUGUCAUGCCAAUGGCACUGCCCGGUAGCUAAAUGCGGAAGAGAUAAGUGCUGAAAGCAUCUAAGCACGAAACUUGCCCCGAGAUGAGUUCUCCCUGAGACUUUAAGUCUCCUGAAGGAACGUUGAAGACGACGACGUUGAUAGGUCGGGUGUGUAAGCGCAGCGAUGCGUUGAGCUAACCGAUACUAAUGAACCGUGAGGCUUAACCUUACAACGCCGAAGCUGUU
RNAcentral lists this ribosomal RNA (2932 nucleotides) under Enterobacter cloacae. RNAcentral describes it as "bacterial LSU rRNA". It matches the Rfam family "Bacterial large subunit ribosomal RNA". The record is from RNAcentral. Lineage: Bacteria; Pseudomonadati; Pseudomonadota; Gammaproteobacteria; Enterobacterales; Enterobacteriaceae. RNAcentral also lists the same sequence under 1 other name.